RNAcentral lists this ribosomal RNA (447 nucleotides) under uncultured bacterium. RNAcentral describes it as "partial 16S ribosomal RNA". It matches the Rfam family "Bacterial small subunit ribosomal RNA", at positions 331 to 793 of the family's 1533-position model. The record is from RNAcentral.
CCAGACUCCUACGGGAGGCAGCAGUGGGGAAUAUUGGGCAAUGGGCGCAAGCCUGACCCAGCAACGCCGCGUGAAGGAAGAAGGCUUUCGGGUUGUAAACUUCUUUUAAGAGGGAAGAGUAGAAGACGGUACCUCUUGAAUAAGCCACGGCUAACUACGUGCCAGCAGCCGCGGUAAUACGUAGGUGGCAAGCGUUGUCCGGAUUUACUGGGUGUAAAGGGGGCGCAGACGGCAGCGCAAGCCAGGAGUGAAAGCCCGGGGCUCAACCCCGGGACUGCAUUUGGAACUGUUAAGCUGGAGUGUCGGAGAGGCAGGCGGAAUUCCUAGUGUAGCGGUGAAAUGCGUAGAUAUUAGGAAGAACACCAGUGGCGAAGGCGGCUUGCUGGACAGUAACUGACGUUGAGGCUCGAAAGCGUGGGGAGCAAACAGGAUUAGAUACCCUCGUAC